UUUCUGCAUUUACCAUGCAACCCUGCAGUUUUAUUUGGAAUUUUCAUAGGUGGUGACUGACCCUCCUGGGCCAUAAUCAGUCUCAUAGCGAAUUCAUAAAUUGGGAUCCUGUUUUGGAAAUCUGUUUCCUUUCUGUUGGAAUAAGAAAUUAGUUAAUCAGGACCUCGAGAUUUCUCGAGGUGUGAGAAAAGAGUUUAAAACCAGGAAAACUAAUGAGGGACCUUAGGAAAAGUUAUGAAAACAUGGGACCAAACCUGAGAAGCGAAUCCACCACAAAUCAGAUGUGUGUGUGUGUGUGUGUGUGUGUGUGU
This is a long non-coding RNA of Mustela erminea (ermine), 311 nucleotides long. RefSeq lists it as uncharacterized. The transcript has 3 exons. NCBI's taxonomy places the organism in Eukaryota, Metazoa, Chordata, Mammalia, Carnivora, Mustelidae. The record is from RefSeq and is a predicted model, not a curated record.